GCCUUCGUGAUGUAGUGGUCAGCACGCUCGACCCGUAACCGAGAGAUCCGUGGUUCGAUUCCUGGUGAAGGCG
RNAcentral lists this transfer RNA (73 nucleotides) under Stegodyphus mimosarum. It matches the Rfam family "tRNA". Rfam says of the family: Transfer RNA (tRNA) molecules are approximately 80 nucleotides in length. The record is from Rfam by way of RNAcentral. Lineage: Eukaryota; Metazoa; Arthropoda; Arachnida; Araneae; Eresidae.